This 463-nucleotide ribosomal RNA is filed under the name uncultured bacterium. RNAcentral describes it as "partial 16S ribosomal RNA". It matches the Rfam family "Bacterial small subunit ribosomal RNA", at positions 28 to 507 of the family's 1533-position model. The record is from RNAcentral.
GAUGAACGCUGACAGAAUGCUUAACACAUGCAAGUCGAUGGGGAAGUGGUGCUUGCACCAUGGCAACCAUGGCGGACGGGUGAGUAACGCGUAAGGGACUUACCUGCAGGACUGGGAUAACAGGGGGAAACUCCUGACAAGACCGGAUAAUGUCAUGGAGCUGCAUGGCUUUAUGAUGAAAGGAGACGCCUGCGGAGAGCCUUGCGUCCUAUUAGCUAGUUGGUGAGGUAAUGGCUCACCAAGGCGAAGAUAGGUAGCCGGCCUGAGAGGGUGGACGGCCACAAGGGGACUGAGAUACGGCCCUUACUCCUACGGGAGGCAGCAGUGGGGAAUAUUGGACAAUGGGGGCAACCCUGAUCCAGCAAUUCUGUGUGCACGAAGAGGGUUUUCGGAUUGUAAAGUGCUUUCAGCAGGGAAGAAGUAAGUGACGGUACCUGCAGAAGAAGCGACGGCUAAAUACGUG